Molecule: long non-coding RNA, 647 nt
Filed under: Mus musculus (house mouse)
Lineage: Eukaryota; Metazoa; Chordata; Mammalia; Rodentia; Muridae
Description: long non-coding RNA chr6:118004853-118005500
Source: RNAcentral
GGUGUUCAGGUACAAAAGUCCAAAAGUAUAGGUCCAAGGACAAAAGAAGUGCUUAUAUUCUGCUUUUGUGGGAAAUAUCCAGUGUCCACUAAAGUGGGCAUGUCCAUGCCCACUCCUGUUGGCUGUGAGUGGAGUUCUCACUGGGCUGCUCUGUGAUAAGUAGCAGACACCUGCCACCAAGUUGUUUGUCCCAUGACUUUCUAUCUGCUCCCUCAGUUGCAAACUUAAAAAGAGGAAAUAUUUAUAUUGGAUCAUGGUUCCAAGGUUGCUGUUAUUGUCUAUUAUUCUGUUUCCUGCCCCUGAAUCACAAGAAAAAUAAUUUAGAAAUGGCUAUUUCCCUUAGAUAAGAAACGACUUAUCAUUUGCCCAAUGUCUCCUUUUUCUCACUUACCUACUCCCUCUCUCUGACAACUACCACGAUACUUUUGUGCUUCUAUGAAUUGAACUGUUUCAGAUCUCACAUGCCCCUUCUGUAGCUAGGCCUACCUCUUCUACACAGCCUGCUCGAAUUUUAGACAAUUUGAGAUUCUGCAAUAUUUGCAUAUACACAGAAAAUAUCCAGGGUAAGGGGCCCACACUCAGACACAAAACUCACUUGUGUUCUGUAUAUAUUUUACACAAAUAACCUGGAAUGUCUACCAUAUUUU